GAUGAACGCUGGCGGCGUGCCUAAUACAUGCAAGUCGAGCGAACGGACGAGAAGCUUGCUUCUCUGAUGUUAGCGGCGGACGGGUGAGUAACACGUGGAUAACCUACCUAUAAGACUGGGAUAACUUCGGGAAACCGGAGCUAAUACCGGUUAAUAUUUUGAACCGCAUGGUUCAAAAGUGAAAGACGGUCUUGCUGUCACUUAUAGAUGGAUCCGCGCUGCAUUAGCUAGUUGGUAAGGUAACGGCUUACCAAGGCAACGAUGCAUAGCCGACCUGAGAGGGUGAUCGGCCACACUGGAACUGAGACACGGUCCAGACUCCUACGGGAGGCAGCAGUAGGGAAUCUUCCGCAAUGGGCGAAAGCCUGACGGAGCAACGCCGCGUGAGUGAUGAAGGUCUUCGGAUCGUAAAACUCUGUUAGUAGGGAAGAACAUAUGUGUAAGUAACUGUGCACAUCUUGACGGUACCUAAUCAGAAAGCCACGGCUAACUACGUG
This 497-nucleotide ribosomal RNA is filed under the name uncultured bacterium. Its description in RNAcentral is "partial 16S ribosomal RNA". It matches the Rfam family "Bacterial small subunit ribosomal RNA", at positions 28 to 507 of the family's 1533-position model. The record is from RNAcentral.